UACGUAGGGUGCGAGCGUUGUCCGGAAUUAUUGGGCGUAAAGGGCUCGUAGGCGGUUUGUCGCGUCGGGAGUGAAAUCCACUGGCUUAACUGGUGGCUUGCUUUCGAUACGGGCAGACUGGAGGUAUGCAGGGGAGAACGGAAUUCCUGGUGUAGCGGUGGAAUGCGCAGAUAUCAGGAGGAACACCGGUGGCGAAGGCGGUUCUCUGGGCAGUAACUGACGCUGAGGAGCGAAAGCGUGGGGAGCGAACAGG
Molecule: ribosomal RNA, 253 nt
Filed under: uncultured bacterium
Lineage: Bacteria
Description: partial 16S ribosomal RNA
Rfam family: Bacterial small subunit ribosomal RNA
Source: RNAcentral